RNAcentral lists this ribosomal RNA (95 nucleotides) under Clostridia bacterium. RNAcentral's name for it is "partial 16S ribosomal RNA". It matches the Rfam family "Bacterial small subunit ribosomal RNA", at positions 1448 to 1533 of the family's 1533-position model. The record is from RNAcentral. Lineage: Bacteria; Bacillati; Bacillota; Clostridia.
GGGCGCGGCCGAAGGUGGGUUCGAUAAUUGGGGUGAAGUCGUAACAAGGUAGCCGUAUCGGAAGGUGCGGCUGGAUCACCUCCUUUCUAAGGAGA